CCAAUAGCGUAUAUUAAAGUUGUUGCAGUUAAAAAGCUCGUAGUUGAAUUUCGGGGUUAGCAGGUCGGUCGUGCCAAUGGUAUGCACUGGCUCGCUGACUCCUCCUUCUUGUAGAACCGUAAUGCCAUUAAUUUGGUGUUGCGGGGAAACAGGACCGUUACUUUGAAAAAAUUAGAGUGUUUAAAGCAGGCUAGCGCCUGAAUACAUUAGCAUGGAAUAAUGAAAUAGGACGUUCGAACCUAUUUUGUUGGUUUCUAGGAUUGACGUAAUGAUUAAUAGGGAUAGUUGGGGGCAUUAGUAUUCAAUUGUCAGAGGUGAAAUUCUUGGAUUUAUUGAAGACUGACUACUGCGAAAGCAUUUGCCAAGGAUGUUUUCAUUAAUCAAGAACGAAAGUUAGGGGAUCGAAGACGAUCAGAUACCGUCGUAGUCUUAACCAUAAACUAUGCCGACUAGGGAUCGGAUGAUGUUAAUUUUUUAAUGACUCAUUCGGCGCCUUACG
This 499-nucleotide ribosomal RNA is filed under the name uncultured Glomeromycotina. RNAcentral's name for it is "partial small subunit ribosomal RNA". It matches the Rfam family "Eukaryotic small subunit ribosomal RNA", at positions 591 to 1092 of the family's 1831-position model. The record is from RNAcentral. Lineage: Eukaryota; Fungi; Glomeromycota.